Molecule: ribosomal RNA, 444 nt
Filed under: uncultured bacterium
Lineage: Bacteria
Description: bacterial SSU rRNA
Rfam family: Bacterial small subunit ribosomal RNA
Source: RNAcentral
GGCGUGGUUAAGACAUGCAAGUCGAACGGGAUUCGAUCAAUCGCAAGAAAGAGAGAUGAGAGUGGCAAACGGGUGAGUAACACGUAAACAACCUGCCCUUUAGUUGGGGAUAGCUCGUCGAAAGAUGAAUUAAUACCGAAUGUGGUGGAUUCUCGCAUGAGAAUUCUACUAAAACUUGAAAUGGUGCUAGAGGAGGGGUUUGCGGCCUAUCAGCUUGUUGGUGAGGUAAAGGCUUACCAAGGCGAAGACGGGUAGCUGGUCUGAGAGGACGAUCAGCCACAUUGGAACUGAGACACGGUCCAAACACCUACGGGUGGCAGCAGUUUCGAAUCAUUCACAAUGGACGAAAGUCUGAUGAUGCAACGCCGCGUGAGGGAUGAAGGCCUUCGGGUAGUGAACCUCUGUCGUUAAGGAGCAAAUGUGAGUUAAUAGCUAAUUGAGUAA